Molecule: transfer RNA, 66 nt
Filed under: Sialis jiyuni
Lineage: Eukaryota; Metazoa; Arthropoda; Insecta; Megaloptera; Sialidae
Description: tRNA-Asp
Source: RNAcentral
AAAGAAUUAGUUAAUUUAUAACAUUAAUAUGUCAAAUUAAAAUUAUCAAAUAUUUGAUAUUCUUUA